This 765-nucleotide ribosomal RNA is filed under the name uncultured Streptococcus sp. RNAcentral's name for it is "bacterial SSU rRNA". It matches the Rfam family "Bacterial small subunit ribosomal RNA", at positions 28 to 776 of the family's 1533-position model. The record is from RNAcentral. Lineage: Bacteria; Bacillati; Bacillota; Bacilli; Lactobacillales; Streptococcaceae.
GAUGAACGCUGGCGGCGUGCCUAAUACAUGCAAGUAGAACGCUGAAGCUUGGUGCUUGCACCGAGCGGAUGAGUUGCGAACGGGUGAGUAACGCGUAGGUAACCUGCCUCUUAGCGGGGGAUAACUAUUGGAAACGAUAGCUAAUACCGCAUAAAAGUCGACAUUGCAUGAUGUUGACCUGAAAGGUGCAAUUGCAUCACUAAGAGAUGGACCUGCGUUGUAUUAGCUAGUUGGUGAGGUAACGGCUCACCAAGGCAACGAUACAUAGCCGACCUGAGAGGGUGAUCGGCCACACUGGGACUGAGACACGGCCCAGACUCCUACGGGAGGCAGCAGUAGGGAAUCUUCGGCAAUGGGGGCAACCCUGACCGAGCAACGCCGCGUGAGUGAAGAAGGUUUUCGGAUCGUAAAGCUCUGUUGUAAGAGAAGAACGAGUGUGAGAGUGGAAAGUUCACACUGUGACGGUAACUUACCAGAAAGGGACGGCUAACUACGUGCCAGCAGCCGCGGUAAUACGUAGGUCCCGAGCGUUAUCCGGAUUUAUUGGGCGUAAAGCGAGCGCAGGCGGUUAGAUAAGUCUGAAGUUAAAGGCUGUGGCUUAACCAUAGUACGCUUUGGAAACUGUUUAACUUGAGUGCAGAAGGGGAGAGUGGAAUUCCAUGUGUAGCGGUGAAAUGCGUAGAUAUAUGGAGGAACACCGGUGGCGAAAGCGGCUCUCUGGUCUGUAACUGACGCUGAGGCUCGAAAGCGUGGGGAGCAAACAGG